AUAUCGGGUUCCGGUUAACCGGCUGUGGCAAAGAAUAACGAAUCUCUACCAAAGAAGGAGAACUGAUCAUGGGAUUGAGCAGAAACAGAGAUGUAUACAUGCACGUAUAUGUGCGGAUUCGUGGGUGUAUGACUGGGAGCAGAAGAAAGAAGGGUCUUGAGAUGCAUGGAUGCACGUUGGCGUACAAGUCAAUUCGUUAGGUGAGUCUAUACUAAUAAUUGUGUAAUAAACUUACAUGCGCAAGUUCCUUGCUUGUUGCUAUGCUCUAUUAUAUAUAUAUAUAUAUAUAUGUAUAUAUAAAUUAUAAUUUAACAGAUACAUAUAUCGGAUAUAUCAAUUUGGUGACCAAACUUAUGAUUGUUGUGUUAUUUAAUCAGCGAUCAAACAAUAAACAAAACAUGUAGUAGUUAGUUUGCCACAUAGAGAUUUCUUUCUGGCAUCUUUUAUUAAGUCCUUGUAUAUUUUAUGCUUUGAGAAGAACAUAUUUUGUUGAA
Capsella rubella is the source of this 494-nucleotide long non-coding RNA. RefSeq lists it as uncharacterized. Lineage: Eukaryota; Viridiplantae; Streptophyta; Magnoliopsida; Brassicales; Brassicaceae. The transcript is spliced from 2 exons. The record is from RefSeq and is a predicted model, not a curated record.